This 1071-nucleotide long non-coding RNA is filed under the name Vigna radiata. Its description in RNAcentral is "long non-coding RNA (VRAD_LNC017795)". Lineage: Eukaryota; Viridiplantae; Streptophyta; Magnoliopsida; Fabales; Fabaceae. The record is from RNAcentral.
AAGAAAAAGGUUGAUAGAUUUGGAUUUCGAAUAUACUGAGGACGUUGAAUAUUUUAAUAACUGACGUGUUAUUGAAGGUUAAAAAGGAAAAAAGAAAAAAAGUUAAGAAGAAAAAAAGGAGCGAUUUGGCUUCUGGAUGAACAAUAAAACGUCAUGUCCUUAGUAAAUUGACGUAAUAUUAAUACUCUGGUUACCAAUAACAUGUCAAACUUUCCUUUGUUUGACGUUCAUAUCUUAUUAUUAUGUCGAUGGGCUUUAUCAAACGACGUAUUAUUUGUGUUAAAAAAAAGAGAAAAAAAAGGAGCUAUGGUAUAUUGUGCAAUAACCAUCAUCCCAGAUUGAGUAUACUACAUGCAAUAUAAUCAUGUAACAUUAAAAUGGAAAUUUGCAAUAAAAAAAGUGAUUUUGUUAUACUUAAUCAAUUUAAACAAUUCAAUCACCAUUCAUUAAUGUUUGCCAAAAGAGAAUUUCAUUAAUAUUCAAAAGAUGAUUACAAAAUUAAAAUCAAAAGAUAGCGUAAGAAGCCACUUAUUACAAAAUUAAAAUCAAACAAUGAAAAUCCAUAUUCUUCUAUUGCAGAAUUAUUGUCGAUCCCUUCGUGGUUGUUCACAUCACCUUCCUUUCCAUCUUGAUCGGUGAUUUUUCAAUCCUUAGAGCCUUUUGUCAAUGAUUGUGCCAGCUUUCCAAUUACUUGAGUUUCAAGUAUCUUUUUGAUCGAUUCUGACAAUCUUUCAAUUUACCUAAGCCCCAAGAAUCUUUUUAGCGAUUCUAACAUACAAUUUGUUGUCACUUCAUACCAUCUAGCCCACUCAUCUUCUUCAAUUUUAUUUUCAAACUUGUUUUGUUUGCACUCCAAGAUUCAGAGAUAGGAUAAACUUGCUGAUGAUCGUCAUUUUUUAUCAUGGUGAAUCGAAUAAAAAAAUCACCGAAAACACAAAUUACUCUUAUUAUGAAAAUGUGAUAAAAUAGAAAAACUCAUAUAUAGUAAUAUAUGGGAAGAUGGAAAUGUGUCUAAAUACUCUAUAUUAGUAUAAUAAGUAGCUAAAUUCGGGAUACGUCAGAGAUCAAUUU